Molecule: long non-coding RNA, 3134 nt
Filed under: Sus scrofa (pig)
Lineage: Eukaryota; Metazoa; Chordata; Mammalia; Artiodactyla; Suidae
Description: lncRNA (ENSSSCG00000059466.1)
Source: RNAcentral
UCCUCAUGGAUAUUAGUCAGAUUCUUAACUUGCUGAGCCACAAUGGGAACUCCCUCUGGGAUCUCAUUUUUUUUUUUAAGACAGCUUUACUCAGCAUCAUGAUCAGACUAUUACAUUUAGCAAUCAAUAGCCUGGGUGCAAAAAAAAAAAAAAAACCUACAUUAAAACCCUUUAUUGGAAUGCUUUAUGCUUUCCACAGAAAAGAAACUAAAAUAACCUGUUACACAAUUAGUCACAAAUACAGUCCUCAAGGCUUUUUUGCCCAUACACAUGAGUACUGUCUAAAACAUGUCUUUGCAGCAGCUACGCCCUGCCACCACAGCACUUGGCUGAAUUCACAAAUCUGUUGUAACCUGUAGCUUCCCUGUCACUUCUCUGGCUCUCCUCUCCUGCUAAGCUUUGUUUCCUGGCAGUAAUAAUUAAAACCUUCUGCCACUACCAUAGCUGCUGCUGCUGCUGGAACGUCAUAGCCACCUUGGUUUUGUGGUUUGGCAAAGAAUUGGACUCCACCACCAUAGGGGCCAUAACUCCUGCCUCCAAAAUGUCCUCCUUCAUGGGUCCAAAAUUUGAAGACUGAUUGUUGUAAUUGCCAAAAUCACUGUAGCUUCUGCCACCUCCAAAAUUGCUUCCAUCAUUACCAAAUCCAUGAUACCCAUCCCCACUGCCACCAUAUCCACCACCACCACAACUCCCACCAAAACCACCUCAACCACUCAAGUUUCCCCCUGACCAAAGUUGUCAUUUCCACCAAAACCACCUCCAUGGCCACCACCAAAGUUUCCAGAACCACUUCGACCUCUUUGGCCGGAUGAAGCACUAGCCAGCUCUUGCUUGGAUAGGGCUUUCCUUACUUCACAGUUGUGGCCCUUCACCGUGGUAUUUCUGAAUGACAAUCUUGUCUACAGAGUCAUGGUCAUCAAAGGUUAGAAAAGCAAAACCUCUCUUUUUGCCCCUGCCUCUGUCAGUCAUGAUUCCAUCACUUUGGUUUUCCCACACGGUUCAAAAUCACCUCUUAGGUGAUGUUCUUCAGUGUCUUCUUUAAUGCCACCGACAAAAAUCUUUUUCACAGUUCAGUGGGCACCAGGUCGUUGAGAAUCUUCUCUGGAGACGCCCUCUUUGGUUCCACAACUCUUCCAUCCACCUUGUGUGGCCUUGCAUUCAUGGCUGCAUCCACCUCCCCCACAGUGGCAUACGUGACAAACCCGAAGCCUCUGGAGCGCUUGGUGUUUGGGCCCCUCAUCACCACAUGGUCUGUGAGCGUUCCCCAUGGCUCAGAAUGGCUCCUCAAUCCCUCAUCGGUUGUUUCAAAGCUCGAACCUCCGAUGAAAAGCUUCCAAGUUCAGGCUCCUUGGGAGACUCUGACUUCGACACGACAGUAGGUGGGAGGAGGAUAUAUCGAUGCUUACUUGGCAGCGUCCAGGGGCAUGGAUCUCUUUUCUAAGGACACCAAUCCCAUUUAUGAGGGUUCCAUUCUCAUGACCUAAUCAUCUCUCAAAGGCCCUACCUGUUAAUGCCAUCACAUUGAGGGUUAGAAUUUCAACAUAUGAAUUUGAGUAGGACACAAAUAUUCUAUGCAUAACAUUAUGUUUUCGUUAAAUGUUUGGUAAUAUUAGAUAGGAAAAUUAGGCAAUAAAAUGAAUGGAUUUAUAGGGGGAUAACUCUAGUGCUCUAAAAUGUGGAAAACCUUUAUAUAAAUUUGAAAUUAAUAUAAUUCUUUUUAUUUAUUCUAAGCACAAAGAAGCUACAGAAUAUAUACAAGUGCUGGUAAGUCCUUAUUUACAAAUAUGCUAUGACUCUUUUUUGUUGUUGUUGUUGUUUUUCUUUUUAGGGCAGUGCCCGGGACAUAUGGAGAUUCCCAGGCUAGGAGUCCAAUCGGAGCUGUAGCCACUGGCCUACGCCAGAGCCACAGCAACGCGGGAUCCGAGCCGAGUCUGCAACCUACAUGACGGCUCAUGGCAACGCCAGAUCCUUAACCCACUGAGCAAUGCCAGGGAUCGAACCCACGUCCUCAUGGAUGCUAGUCAGGUUUGUUAACCACUGAGCCACAGCAGGAACUCUUAUGACCAUUUCUUUGAAGACAAAACCAGUUGGAGGGAAUGAACUACCUGCAAGUCCUUGGUACCUAUAGGCAAAGUAAACCAAAGUAAUUUUUUAACUUAAAAAUAAUAUUUAUGGAGAAGAGAAAAGGCAAAUACCAAAGCAAUUUACAAACAGGCAUCAUAUAUAUUUGUUAAAGGUCAGAAUACUAGGAGUCAAAGAAAGAGCAGACUGGCAGAGUAUAGUCUCUGAUAGAAGAAUGAGACCUGUUUAGAAAAGACAGAACCCAGCCUCCAGGAACCUUGGGGCCUUGAAAUCUCUAGGAAAACACACAGGAGUCAAGAGUUGGCUAAAAGACUCUCAGGUUUUUGUUGUUGUUGUUUGGCUUUUUAGGGCUUCACUCACGGCAUAUUUCCAUAUUUCCCAGGCUAGGGGUCAAAUCAGAGCUACAGCUGAUGGCCUACGCCAUAGCCACAGCAAUGCAGGAUCCAAGCUGCAUCUGUGAACUACACCACAGCUCACGUCAACGCUGGAUCCUUAACCCACUGAAUGAGGCCAGGGAUUGAACCCACAUCCUCACAGAUCCUAGUCAGGUUCGUUAACCGCUGAGCCACAAAGGGAACUCCAAGACUCUCAGGUAUUGAUCACAUACCAAAAUCAUGCCAUCAGAAUGUGUGCAGAGAGGAAACUUCCCUAAAGACCGUCUAAGAUUCAAUAUCAUAAGAUGCUCCUCAACUUCUCCUCAUAGUCAUGGGAACACACAUACUGAAGUGAAAGCAAUGUUCCUUUUGAUGCUUGUUGUGUCUAGAGGCCUUGUCUCUCUGAUGGUUCCAUGGUUUACAACAACCCCCACUAAGACUGAGACUCCACACUUGGGUGAGCUGUGCUAUGCAUGAAAAUAAUAGAAUAAGAAGCUUUUCAUGUACCAGGCAGCGUAUGUUUCUCCUAUAUACAGCCAUGGCUUGCAGGGCACUGGAAUUUUCAACCAUCUUAAAAAAGCAGGAAAACCCUAGACAAAGGUGGGAACAUUUAAGGAAUAUCUGCUACAGCAGACACUGGGAGAAAGAAUGGAUUAAAAAGUUUUCUGCGGUUGCAGC